UCAGCAGUCAAGAAUAUUAGUCAAUGCUCGCAAGAGUGAACUAGCUAACUGAAAUCACAUGACUCACUAUGUUGGUGAUUGUGAUAACGUAAGGGAAAAAAAUGAUAUUACCUUACUAUUAGUGUUGUCCAAAACUGGUGCCAGAAGACUCGGUAAGGCCAGAGACGCAAACGUUAGUCGUCCUAAUCAGGCGUAAAGGGUAUGUAGGCUGCUUUAAAAAUUUUAUCUUUAUAAUAGCUCUGUAAUCAUAUAAUUUAUUAUAUGUCUCAGUUAAAGAUAAGAUCAAUUAAAGCUAGGAUCAAAUUGAGGAUAAACCAAAUAAUACUUAGUGUAGGGUUGAUAUCUAUAGAUACUAAGGGGAAUACUAAAGGUGAAAGCUUUUUAUCUACUAAUGAUUGACGCUGAGAAACGAAGGUGAGAAUAGGAAAUAGGAUUAGAUACCCAGAUACCUCUCACUGUCAACGAUGAAUGGUGGUUGUUAGUUUUUAAAAAAACUGGUAACGAUGUUAACACGAUAACCAUUCCGCCUUGCGAGUACGGUUGCAAAACUGAAACCAAAAAAAUUAGUCGGUCUCGAAGCAAACGAAGUGAAGCAUGUUAUUUAAUUCGAUUAAUCCGCA
RNAcentral lists this ribosomal RNA (620 nucleotides) under Entoloma zuccherellii. Its description in RNAcentral is "SSU rRNA". It matches the Rfam family "Bacterial small subunit ribosomal RNA", at positions 348 to 965 of the family's 1533-position model. Lineage: Eukaryota; Fungi; Basidiomycota; Agaricomycetes; Agaricales; Entolomataceae. The record is from RNAcentral.